RNAcentral lists this ribosomal RNA (433 nucleotides) under uncultured bacterium. RNAcentral's name for it is "partial 16S ribosomal RNA". It matches the Rfam family "Bacterial small subunit ribosomal RNA", at positions 29 to 507 of the family's 1533-position model. The record is from RNAcentral.
AACGAACGCUGGCGGCAUGCCUAACACAUGCAAGUCGAACGAGACCUUCGGGUCUAGUGGCGCACGGGUGCGUAACGCGUGGGAACCUGCCCUUAGGUUCGGAAUAACUCCCCGAAAGGGGCGCUAAUACCGGAUAAUGUCUUCGGACCAAAGAUUUAUCGCCUUUGGAUGGGCCCGCGUUGGAUUAGCUAGUUGGUAGGGUAAAAGCCUACCAAGGCGACGAUCCAUAGCUGGUCUGAGAGGAUGAUCAGCCACACUGGGACUGAGACACGGCCCAGACUCCUACGGGAGGCAGCAGUGGGGAAUAUUGGACAGUGGGCGAAAGCCUGAUCCAGCAAUGACGCGUGAGUGAUGAAGGCAUUAGGGUUGUAAAGCUCUUUUACCCGGGAUGAUAAUGACAGUACCGGGAGAAUAAGCUCCGGCUAACUCCGUG